Molecule: non-coding RNA, 46 nt
Filed under: Schistosoma mansoni
Lineage: Eukaryota; Metazoa; Platyhelminthes; Trematoda; Strigeidida; Schistosomatidae
Source: RNAcentral
GCACUGCUGAGGAAUCCUACAAUAGGAUGAAAUGGACAUCCAGUGC